This is a long non-coding RNA of Fundulus heteroclitus (mummichog), 252 nucleotides long. RefSeq lists it as uncharacterized. The transcript is spliced from 3 exons. Lineage: Eukaryota; Metazoa; Chordata; Actinopteri; Cyprinodontiformes; Fundulidae. The record is from RefSeq and is a predicted model, not a curated record.
CAACAACAGCAGCAGCAGAACCAUCAAACAAAUGGACCUCUAUGGAAAUAAAUCCAUCUACAAAUAUCAACAACUUAUCAGAAUUUCAUGGUUGGUGUUGGUCGUUCAUCAUUCGUCCCGUUUGUUUGGCAGUGAUGAUAAUAACUGUUCUGGUGAUCAGCAGAUGGAAGAAAACAAAAGGAAAUAAAUCAACAGAAGAAGAAUAAAGUCAAGUGAGUGAAUCACUGAAUAAUUACAUACUUGUUUCAACUG